Molecule: ribosomal RNA, 253 nt
Filed under: uncultured bacterium
Lineage: Bacteria
Description: partial 16S ribosomal RNA
Rfam family: Bacterial small subunit ribosomal RNA
Source: RNAcentral
UACGGAAGGGGCUACCGUUGUUCGGAAUUACUGGGCGUAAAGAGCGCGUAGGCGGCUUACCAAGUUGGGGGUGAAAUCCCGGAGCUCAACUCCGGAACUGCCUUCAAAACUGGUAGGCUCGAGUCCGGAAGAGGGGCGUGGAAUUCCCAGUGUAGAGGUGAAAUUCGUAGAUAUUGGGAAGAACACCGGUGGCGAAGGCGGCGCCCUGGUCCGGUACUGACGCCGAGGCGCGAAAGCGUGGGGAGAAAACAGG